RNAcentral lists this RNase P RNA (382 nucleotides) under Mariprofundaceae bacterium. RNAcentral describes it as "RNase P RNA component class A". It matches the Rfam family "Bacterial RNase P class A". Rfam says of the family: Ribonuclease P (RNase P) is a ubiquitous endoribonuclease, found in archaea, bacteria and eukarya as well as chloroplasts and mitochondria. The record is from RNAcentral. Lineage: Bacteria; Pseudomonadati; Pseudomonadota; Candidatius Mariprofundia; Mariprofundales; Mariprofundaceae.
GGAGUGGUUCAGGUCAUCGCGGUGCAUUUUGUGUGCAUCGAGGAAAGUCCGGGCUGCAUAGAACAGGAUGCUGGAUAACGUCCAGUGGGGGAAACCCUAGGAAAGUGCCACAGAGAUGAGACCGCCUUUGCAUGUAUGUUUACAUCCAUCGGUCAGGGUGAAAAGGUGCGGUAAGAGCGCACCGCUUCGGGCGGCGACGAACGAAGGCAUCGGUAAACCCCAUCCGCAGCAAGGUCAAAUAGGGAGUCGUUAAGCGUGGUUCGCGCGUGGCUUCGGGUAGACUGCUUGAGGUGCCUAGCAAUGGUGCAUCCAGAUGAAUGAUGAUUACUGCUGUUUGUUCGCAAACACAGAACAGAACCCGGCUUAUCGAACCACUCCUCAC